GAUGAACGCUGGCGGCGUGCCUAAUACAUGCAAGUCGAGCGAACAGACGAGGAGCUUGCUCCUCUGACGUUAGCGGCGGACGGGUGAGUAACACGUGGAUAACCUACCUAUAAGACUGGGAUAACUUCGGGAAACCGGAGCUAAUACCGGAUAAUAUAUUGAACCGCAUGGUUCAAUAGUGAAAGACGGUUUUGCUGUCACUUAUAGAUGGAUCCGCGCCGCAUUAGCUAGUUGGUAAGGUAACGGCUUACCAAGGCGACGAUGCAUAGCCGACCUGAGAGGGUGAUCGGCCACACUGGAACUGAGACACGGUCCAGACUCCUACGGGAGGCAGCAGUAGGGAAUCUUCCGCAAUGGGCGAAAGCCUGACGGAGCAACGCCGCGUGAGUGAUGAAGGCCUUCGGAUCGUAAAACUCUGUUAUUAGGGAAGAACAAAUGUGUAAGUAACUAUGCACGUCUUGACGGUACCUAAUCAGAAAGCCACGGCUAACUACGUG
RNAcentral lists this ribosomal RNA (497 nucleotides) under uncultured bacterium. RNAcentral describes it as "partial 16S ribosomal RNA". It matches the Rfam family "Bacterial small subunit ribosomal RNA", at positions 28 to 507 of the family's 1533-position model. The record is from RNAcentral.